RNAcentral lists this long non-coding RNA (3090 nucleotides) under Manihot esculenta (cassava). RNAcentral describes it as "long non-coding RNA (MESC_LNC005295)". Lineage: Eukaryota; Viridiplantae; Streptophyta; Magnoliopsida; Malpighiales; Euphorbiaceae. The record is from RNAcentral.
CUUUUCCACAUUUCUCAUCCUUCUUUCUAAACUUUCUCUCUUUAAAGAAGGUUUUCCGGUAGCCAAAAUCUUAGUUUCCAUCCAGUCGUCGGUGAAGAGUUGAAGGCAUUUAAGUUUAUUUGAUUUAUUUUGGAUUUUUUUUAAUUUUUAGCUUUAGUUUAUUUUCAAACUUGUUCGGGUUUUUGACUCUUAGAGGGAUCGAGUUUUGGCUAUCUAGGGUUUUAGGGUUUCGGUCUUCAAGGGUGCUACUAUUGGUAUGAGUGAUUUUUGGUUAUCCAGGGUUUUGUGGUUGUGCUCUUCGAAGGGUGCAGUUUUCGAGUUUUUAGUGUGCUGAGGGUUUAGUCAUUUGCAAAUUCAGGUUUUUGGCUCUAAGGAGGAGCAAGUUUCAGUGCCGGGUAUUGGCUGCUUCAAGUUUCCGGUGUUUUCAGUGUGUUAAGGUUUCAAAUUUUCAAUGGUAGGAAGGUCCAGAUGUUGGCUGCUUUGGGCAUCUGGUGUUUUUUACGUGUUAAGGAUUCAAGUUUUUAGUGGUAUCACCUUUUGGGCUUUUGAUCAUUAAAACUUUCUAUGUUUUUGGUCUUUAGCGCUUCUAAGAGGAUUUUUGGUGCUUCACAUUUAUCAAGCUUUCGGCACUACUUUCUUGGUUAUUAGUCCUUUAGUCUACUUUACGGCUUCCAAUUUUUGUUUCUAAGUGCGUGUUAUUGAGUUUGUAUGAUGGACCCUUUGGAUGUUCCUAUGGCUAAUGUUACCUUGUCUUAUUCAGAUUAGUCUGAAGAGAUUCUGGAGACUCAACAAGAGGAAGGUGAAAUCCCAAUUUCUCCUUAUGCCUCAUUAUCAUCGAGCCUUGAUAAUUUCUUUGUGCCUCGCCCAUUUGUGACUAGUGUGGUCUCGUUGCUAAGUAAGGAUGAGAUUGAAGAGAUAACUAUGGUUUAUAGGAUACCAACCACUUUUAAAGCCUACUCGUGUGGUAGGGACCAAGCGACUAAUGGGUUGGUCUCAAAGAAAAAUUGUUUCAUAGUAUAUGUAGAGCAAUUGCGGUCUGGACUACGCUUCCCACUAGGCCCAUUUAUAGUGGUUGUCCUGAAGCUCUUUCGGGUUAGCAUUGCUUAGAUUCACCUAAACACUUGGUGAGUUCUAGUGUCUUUUCUCUCUUUGUAUUGCAUACAUAACAUAGAGCCUUAAGCCUGAGUUUUUACUUUGAGGUAUGCAUUGUCUCAUAGUGAAGCUGAAACCUUUUACUAUUUCCUCUCAAAGAAGGGGAGUAGCUUGCUUGUUUGACAGCUUUUCUGGGUCGAUAAAAAAAUUGAAAGUUGAUAUUUUUCAUGCUAAGGCAUCUUUCCGGUGGUAGUUGGGAUGGUUUUACUGAGAGUUGAUCCUUUCAAACUUAAUAGUUCAAAAGAAUGCUUCAAAUAAUUGGCUUAAAAGAAUCCUUUCAAACUUAAUAGUUCAAAAGAAUCCUUUCAAACUAUUGGCUUACACAAAGCUCUUGGCUGUUGUUUCAUUGAGGAGGAAGCAACCUUACUAACCAUUGUGCCAAAAAAUGGCCUUUUGAUAAAUUUUAUUGGUUUAUCGUCGAAGGAGACUGAUAAUGUUAUACCUCAACAUCUUUAUUUUUUUGACUUCUUAUCUAACUUAAUAAUUUCUUUUUUUAUUUGUAGAGAUGAUUGGAGAUAAUACAUCAUGGAUUAGGAAGGUGGUUGAAAAGAAGAGGAAAGGGGUUGGUGGAUUAGGAAGGUGGUUGAAAAGAGGAGGAAAGGGGUUGGUCAGGUUAACUACCAAAAGAGGUCGAGGUCCAUUGGAGGGACUUUAAACUCUUUCGUCAUUGCUCCUCAAGAUUCAUAAGAGCAUGCUUCUAUCGAGCUUGCUUCCUUUUCUAUUGAGAUGGGCCUCCUUCCACUGCCUUCUUCCCUUACUUUUGAUGGCCUAUUGAGGGUCACAACACGAUAGCAAGGAACUGCUACUUGGUUGAGCGCAUAACAAAGAAGAUUACUUUGCUUGAUGACUUCUUCUACCAUGGGAUGUCCUUGGGUGUAGAGGCCAUGACUGCAUUUAAGGUGGAAUGAGAGGUUUCCAAAAUUGUGGGGAUCGUUCAAUGAAUUGUAGAUAUAGAACAUCCUUCUUACCACUAAACUAGAGAACCUUCGUAGCAUUAACAAAAAUCUCGAGAUUGAGAUGGAGCAAAUUGAUCUUCAUUCUAAGCGAUUUUAGUAUUGAAUUCAUCUUAUUUUAUUGUUUUAUCUAUUUAUUUGUUCUAUUUUCUCAAAUUUCCUUUUAUAAGGAACUUUGAGAUACUUAGGAGCUCUACAUUUUAGAGGAAAACUAAGCCGGAACUAGAGAAAAUAAUACCCAACAACCCUAUGUAAUUCAACCUAAAUUACAUGGGAUGACCCAUGUAAUUAUAGCAACCCCGUGUAACUAAGAAACAUAUAUUAAAUUCGCUCAGAAGGUUAUGUGGGUCUAUUGGGAUUUACAUGGGCUAGACCCAUGCGAUUAAGACUGACCCGUGUACUGUUGGAAGAAGAAUCAAGAGAAUUCAGUACGUUACACAAGUCUACUGAGAAUUACACAGGUUCAACCCAUGUGAGCUGGGCAACCCGUGUAAAUUUAUAUGGUUUCAACCCAUGUAACGUGCUAGAUCUAUGUAUUUUAAUCCAAUUUACACGGGGUCCUACGAUUUCAAUAGAUUAAACUUGACCUAGCCAAUUUUAUUGCAUCCUAAUUGAACCAAAGGGUUUCUUAAGUUAUCUAGGAUUGAAACAAGAGCCACAAGUGUUAUAAAAGCCAAGGAUUUCAAUCAGAAAAGUAUUGUAAACUUGGAUACCACUAAGGAGAAACUGAACAAAAGGAGAAGAAGCCAUUAGUUCGUGAAGUAGAUUUUGUAGUAAAAAUCUGAGAAGAUCAUGCUGUCAGUUUAAUUGUGGAUCUAUUUGGUUCUAUUUUUCUUAUGUCUUAUUUUCUUAAUUUUAUUGUUCUUACAAUUAUGAACAUGAAUGAGUAAAUUUCUUUAUUCUAGGAUUUGGGAAGUAACACUUGGACUGUAUAGAUAUUUAAUUAGUUUUAUUCAAUAAAUUUGGAAUUAAUUAUUUGAUUCAA